Molecule: long non-coding RNA, 335 nt
Organism: Thalassophryne amazonica
Lineage: Eukaryota; Metazoa; Chordata; Actinopteri; Batrachoidiformes; Batrachoididae
Exons: 2
Source: RefSeq, a predicted model, not a curated record
GCUGGAAUAGUGCCGGCCAGGAUGGAGGCUGUCAGAGAACCAGUGUGGUUUGAAAAGGUGAAGAAGAGCUUGACAAGUACGGAGGGUGAAGGGGCUGAUCACCGUGUCAGAUAUGUGGUGAAGGGAGGAGGCAAACAGGACGCAGCUCCAAGAGGAAUGAUGGCAAUGUCCACGAACAAGGGCUGUUACAACCUACAAUAAUGAAGGCCUUCACUACUGUGAUCACGGUAAUCCAGGAAACAAUGAAAGUGUCUCGGGUUUGAGUUGACAAAUUAGAGAAAACAUUAUUUAACUGAUGAAUUAACUUUUUGCAUCAAAUUAAUUCUCAGCACAAA